GCCGCGUUUUCCCCUGACAGACCGAAGAGACGCCGUUCCAUCCAAGUUUCGUGGACGAAAAAGACGACCUUCUCGAGCGGAGCGCACGCACACGACCUCCGGGCAACUCUGCGCCGCCGCUGGGACAGACCGCGCGCUCCGUUUCCACCCUCGGUUUCAAGAGAGAUUUCACGAGGAAACCCGCGUGUCUCCGAUUCGAGAGUGGUGCAAGAAAACCACACCGGAAAAUCGAUGAGAAACUGAGCGCUAGUGGCUAUACGAAUUGACCGACAGAUUAGGUUCAAGGUGACUCGUAUAAUAUGCUGAGCUUCAGCCAGCAGCGGUCUCAUUUCAAGAAACCAUCCAGGAACGCGGAGAGUCUAGCACUACUGAUCUUUCUAAAGCCAAUCACAGUUUUUCCCCUCGUGAUUACGAGAGUGACAAAAAACCGUGAUUUACAGUCGCUCUAGGCAGACUCCUCCACGGGAGGUCUCUGUCGUUCACUGACAACAUCCCGCGCUACCACGAGAGUCCGAUCGCAUCCAAUUUGCGAAGGAACUGGCUUCCUUUAUUUUGAUGGGAUGUACCGUGUCGAAAACUAUGCAUCUGGUUCAAGCUCUGGAGGCGCAUGAGGAACAGGAUAGACCAAAGCCUACUGACAAACUCCACCAGCAACCGCUAGGUCUACCUGAAACGUCAGCGACCUGCGUAGACAGCGGUUCGUUCUGAUGCUUAUGGGUCGAGCAGCUGGCUUCUGGAUUACAAACUGAAGUCCAGACAAAGUCUGAUUCGUAGCACCAGGACUUUGCUGUGGCCACAC
RNAcentral lists this long non-coding RNA (799 nucleotides) under Toxoplasma gondii VEG. The record is from RNAcentral. Lineage: Eukaryota; Apicomplexa; Conoidasida; Eucoccidiorida; Sarcocystidae.